GGGGAAUAUUGCGCAAUGGGCGAAAGCCUGACGCAGCGACGCCGCGUGAGGGAUGACGGCCUUCGGGUUGUAAACCUCUUUCAGCAGGGAAGAAGCGAAAGUGACGGUACCUGCAGAAGAAGCACCGGCUAACUACGUGCCAGCAGCCGCGGUAAUACGUAGGGUGCAAGCGUUGUCCGGAAUUAUUGGGCGUAAAGAGCUCGUAGGCGGCUUGUCACGUCGGAUGUGAAAACUCGGGGCUCAACCCCGAGCCUGCAUUCGAUACGGGCUAGCUAGAGUAUGGUAGGGGAGACUGGAAUUCCUGGUGUAGCGGUGAAAUGCGUAGAUAUCAGGAGGAACACCGGUGGCGAAGGCGGGUCUCUGGGCCAUAACUGACGCUGAGGAGCGAAAGCGUGGGGAGCGAA
This 404-nucleotide ribosomal RNA is filed under the name uncultured bacterium. RNAcentral describes it as "bacterial SSU rRNA". It matches the Rfam family "Bacterial small subunit ribosomal RNA", at positions 356 to 772 of the family's 1533-position model. The record is from RNAcentral.